GUGGGGAAUAUUGGGCAAUGGGGGAAACCCUGACCCAGCAACGCCGCGUGAAGGAAGAAGGCUUUCGGGUUGUAAACUUCUUUUACCAGGGAAAAACACAAUGAUGGUACCUGGAGAAAAAGCUACGGCUAACUACGUGCCAGCAGCCGCGGUAAUACGUAGGUGGCAAGCGUUGUCCGGAAUUACUGGGUGUAAAGGGCGUGUAGGCGGAACUACAAGUCAGGGGUGAAAACUAUGGGAUUAACCCAGAGCCUGCCUUUGAAACUGUAGUCCUUGAGUGCUGGAGAGGCAAUUGGAAUUCCUAGUGUAGCGGUGAAAUGCGUAGAUAUUAGGAGGAACACCAGUGGCGAAGGCGAAUUGCUGGACAGUAACUGACGCUGAGGCGCGAAAGCGUGGGGAGCAAACAGGAUUAGAUACCCCUGUAGUCC
This 428-nucleotide ribosomal RNA is filed under the name uncultured bacterium. RNAcentral describes it as "partial 16S ribosomal RNA". It matches the Rfam family "Bacterial small subunit ribosomal RNA", at positions 354 to 796 of the family's 1533-position model. The record is from RNAcentral.